CCUGUUUAACAAAAACAUGUCUUUUUGAGUUAUUUUUAAAGUCUGACCUGCCCACUGAAAUUAUUUAAAUGGCCGCAGUAUUCUAACUGUGCAAAGGUAGCAUAAUCAUUAGUCUUUUAAUUGAAGGCUGGUAUGAACGGUUGGACGAGGUAUAAGCUGUUUCAUAUAAAUUUGUAAUAGAAUUUUAUAUUUUAGUCAAAAAGCUAAAAUUUAAUUAAAAGACGAGAAGACCCUAUAAAUCUUUAUACUUUAUGUUGUUUAAAUUUUUUAGAUUUGUUUUAUUUUUAUAGUUUUGAGUAUUUUGUUGGGGUGAUAUUAAAAUUUAAUGAACUUUUAAUUAAUUAGAAUCAUUAAUUUAUGAAUUAUUGAUCCAUUAGUAGUGAUUAUAAGAUUAAGUUACUUUAGGGRUAACAGCGUAAUUUUUUUGGAGAGUUCAUAUCGAUAAAAAAGUUUGCGACCUCGAUGUUGGAUUAAGAAAUAUUUUUAGGUGUAGCCGCUUAAAC
Molecule: ribosomal RNA, 503 nt
Filed under: Bactrocera furvilineata
Lineage: Eukaryota; Metazoa; Arthropoda; Insecta; Diptera; Tephritidae
Description: partial large subunit ribosomal RNA
Source: RNAcentral